Molecule: ribosomal RNA, 497 nt
Filed under: uncultured bacterium
Lineage: Bacteria
Description: partial 16S ribosomal RNA
Rfam family: Bacterial small subunit ribosomal RNA
Source: RNAcentral
GAUGAACGCUGGCGGCGUGCCUAAUACAUGCAAGUCGAGCGAACAGAUGAGGAGCUUGCUCCUCUGACGUUAGCGGCGGACGGGUGAGUAACACGUGGAUAACCUACCUAUAAGACUGGGAUAACUUCGGGAAACCGGAGCUAAUACCGGAUAAUAUAUUGAACCGCAUGGUUCAAUAGUGAAGGACGGUUUUGCUGUCACUUAUAGAUGGAUCCGCGCCGCAUUAGCUAGUUGGUAAGGUACCGGCUUACCAAGGCAACGAUGCGUAGCCGACCUGAGAGGGUGAUCGGCCACACUGGAACUGAGACACGGUCCAGACUCCUACGGGAGGCAGCAGUAGGGAAUCUUCCGCAAUGGGCGAAAGCUUGACGGAGCAACGCCGCGUGAGUGAUGAAGGUCUUCGGAUCGUAAAACUCUGUUAUUAGGGAAGAACAAAUGUGUAAGUAACUAUGCACGUCUUGACGGUACCUAAUCAGAAAGCCACGGCUAACUACGUG